GCCGGUAUAGCUCAGUUGGUAGAGCAUCUCAUUCGUAAUGAGGGGGUCCGUGGUUCGAGUCCGCGUACCGGCACCA
This 76-nucleotide transfer RNA is filed under the name Gammaproteobacteria bacterium. RNAcentral's name for it is "tRNA-Thr". It matches the Rfam family "tRNA". Rfam says of the family: Transfer RNA (tRNA) molecules are approximately 80 nucleotides in length. Their secondary structure includes four short double-helical elements and three loops (D, anti-codon, and T loops). Further hydrogen bonds mediate the characteristic L-shaped molecular structure. tRNAs have two regions of fundamental functional importance: the anti-codon, which is responsible for specific mRNA codon recognition, and the 3' end, to which the tRNAs corresponding amino acid is attached (by aminoacyl-tRNA synthetases). tRNAs cope with the degeneracy of the genetic code in two manners: having more than one tRNA (with a specific anti-codon) for a particular amino acid; and 'wobble' base-pairing, i.e. permitting non-standard base-pairing at the 3rd anti-codon position. The record is from RNAcentral. RNAcentral also lists the same sequence under 2 other names. Lineage: Bacteria; Pseudomonadati; Pseudomonadota; Gammaproteobacteria.